Molecule: ribosomal RNA, 254 nt
Filed under: uncultured bacterium
Lineage: Bacteria
Description: partial 16S ribosomal RNA
Rfam family: Bacterial small subunit ribosomal RNA
Source: RNAcentral
UACGUAGGGUGCGAGCGUUGUCCGGAAUUAUUGGGCGUAAAGAGCUCGUAGGCGGUGUGUCACGUCGGCCGUGAAAACCUGCAGCUUAACUGUGGGCGUGCGGUCGAUACGGGCAUCACUGGAGUUCGGCAGGGGAGACUGGAAUUCCUGGUGUAGCGGUGAAAUGCGCAGAUAUCAGGAGGAACACCGGUGGCGAAGGCGGGUUGCUGGGCCGACACUGACGCUGAUGCGCGAAAGCCAGGGGAGCGAACGGG